CCUACGGGAGGCAGCAGUGGGGAAUAUUGGACAAUGGGCGCAAGCCUGAUCCAGCCAUGCCGCGUGUGUGAAGAAGGCUCUAGGGUUGUAAAGCACUUUCAGUAGGGAGGAAGGCCAGAGUGUUAAUAGCGCUUUGGAUUGACGUUACCUACAGAAGCAGCACCGGCUAACUCCGUGCCAGCAGCCGCGGUAAUACGGAGGGUGCAAGCGUUAAUCGGAAUUACUGGGCGUAAAGCGCGCGUAGGCGGUUUGUUAAGUGUGAUGUGAAAGCCCAGGGCUCAACCUUGGAACUGCAUCACAUACUGGCAAGCUAGAGUACGGUAGAGGGGGGUAGAAUUCCAUGUGUAGCGGUGAAAUGCGUAGAGAUGUGGAGGAAUACCAGUGGCGAAGGCGGCCCCCUGGAUCGAUACUGACGCUGAGGUGCGAAAGCGUGGGGAGCA
This 440-nucleotide ribosomal RNA is filed under the name uncultured bacterium. RNAcentral's name for it is "bacterial SSU rRNA". It matches the Rfam family "Bacterial small subunit ribosomal RNA", at positions 338 to 770 of the family's 1533-position model. The record is from RNAcentral.